UACGUAGGUCCCGAGCGUUGUCCGGAUUUAUUGGGCGUAAAGCGAGCGCAGGCGGUUUGAUAAGUCAGAAGUAAAAGGCUGUGGCUCAACCAUAGUACGCUUUUGAAACUGUCAAACUUGAGUGCAGAAGGGGGGAGUGGAAUUCCAUGUGUAGCGGUGAAAUGCGUAGAUAUAUGGAAGAACACCAGUGGCGAAAGCGGCUCUCUGGUCUGUAACUGACGCUGAGGUUCGAAAGCGUGGGUAGCAAACAGG
This 252-nucleotide ribosomal RNA is filed under the name uncultured bacterium. Its description in RNAcentral is "partial 16S ribosomal RNA". It matches the Rfam family "Bacterial small subunit ribosomal RNA", at positions 524 to 776 of the family's 1533-position model. The record is from RNAcentral.